Molecule: non-coding RNA, 742 nt
Organism: Ciona savignyi (Pacific transparent sea squirt)
Lineage: Eukaryota; Metazoa; Chordata; Ascidiacea; Phlebobranchia; Cionidae
Source: Rfam
CGGCGCGGUCCGGCGGAGGUUGGAUCCCGUCCCGUGAGGGACGGGCGCACUUCCUGUCGAUCUUUUCCGCCCUUGUCGGCUGAGGGUCCGAGGCGAGAACGCGUGCAAGUCGCGGACCCUGAAAGAUGGUGAACUAUGCCUGAGGAGGUUGAAGCCAGAGGAAACUCUGGUGGAGGACCGUAGCGAUUCUGACGUGCAAAUCGAUCGUCAAAUUUGGGUAUAGGGGCGAAAGACUAAUCGAACCGUCUAGUAGCUGGUUCCCUUCGAAGUUUCCCUCAGGAUAGCUGGCGCUCUGUCGCAGUUUUAUCUGGUAAAGCGAAUGAUUAGAGGUCUUGGGGGCGAAACGCCCCUCAACCCUAUUCUCAAACUUUAAAUUGGUAAGAAGCCCGACUCGCUCGUUUGGAGCCGGGCAUGGAAUGCGAGUGCCAAGUGGGCCACUCUUGGUAAGCAGGACUGGCGAUGCGGGAUGAACCGAACGCCGGGUUAAGGCGCCCGACGCGACGCUCAUCAGAGCCCACAAAAGGUGUUGGUUGAUAUAGACAGCAGGACGGUGGCCAUGGAAGUCGGAAACCGCUAGCUCUUAAUGAGGAAGUUGCCGAGAUUAAAGAUUCCGGAAAAAAUCAAGCUGAAACGGAGAUUUUGUGCUGUUAAAAGUGGCUGCAAGAAUGUCGUUUUUAUCAAAAUAUCGGAAAUUAAACCGCGUGAAUUUGUUGAGCGAAUAAUUGCAACGAUUGGUGCUGCU